This 1233-nucleotide long non-coding RNA is filed under the name Monodelphis domestica (gray short-tailed opossum). RNAcentral's name for it is "lncRNA (ENSMODG00000041152.1)". Lineage: Eukaryota; Metazoa; Chordata; Mammalia; Didelphimorphia; Didelphidae. The record is from RNAcentral.
GUGAAGCUUGCUUCGUUAAUUGCCACGUGUGCCCCAUGCCGGAAGCACACUUGACUAAGGUUUCCUUUCCUCUAGUCCUGAAAGUGGAGCACCAAAUCCCAUGUCUGGCAAUGAGAGAAAACUAAGAUUGCCAAGGAGCAACAAGGGCCACGUGGAAGCUAACAGCAUGACUACGUGAUGGGGAAUGGGGGAAUCACUGGAAAAUGAUGGUAAUGUAGAAAAGAGCAUCAACAAAGCAAUUAAAAAGAAAGAAGUAUAAAGAUGGGGAAAAAUAAGAUUCAAAGAGCCCCCGUCUACAGCUGGAAGGGACCUCAGAGGUUCUAGAGUUCAGCCCGGCAUUACAGAGACGAGGAAAGCGGAGGCCAAGGGAAGUGAACACGGGUCAUACAAAAGAGGAUCAGAGGUGGAAUUUGAACUCGGAUUCUCUGACUCCAGAGCCAGUUCGCUUUCCGUUGGAUCACGAGACUUGAAAUUUCUGAAUCCUGGGACUGAGUCCCUUGAAAGAUAUGUUAAAGAAAGGACAUCAGAGACGCGCCUAGCCCAAGGGCUCAUGUGACAGGUGAAGGAAGUGACCGCCUGAGAGAGGAAAUGACGUGCCGGAGUCACGUGUCUAGCAAGGAGCAGAGCCUCUAUUCAAACUCGGGGCUCACCUCUCCGGCCACUGAUUUUGCGGUCCUCUCGAGCAAACUCUGAAGCGUUCUAGCUCCCUGCUGGAGGCUCGUCGAGUUCAUGCCUUGCUUCUGCUGGUGACCCGCCCUGGGACCUCAGGCAAGUCCCUUAACACGUGCCAACCUCAAUUUCUUCUUCUAUAAAGUAGGGAUAGCAAGGAUAGCACCUACCUCCCAGGGCUGCUGUAAGGAUCCAAUCAGAUUGUAUCUAUAAAAUGUUUCUUAAACCAAACCUUAGAGUGCUAUUUAAAUGUUAGCUAUAUUAAUAGCUAUAAUUGUAAUAGAAUAUUUUGAAAAUCCAACUUAGGUGUCCUUGUCCUUUAAUUGUCUUAGAUAGGGGAGCAGCUGAGUGGCUCAGUAGAUUGAGAGCCAGGCCUGGAGCCAGGAGAUCCUGGGUUCAAAUUAAACAGCAGAUACUUCCUAGCUGUGUGACCCUGGGCAAGUCACUUGACUCCCAUUGUCUAGCCCUUACUGCUCUUCUGCCUUUGAACCAAUACAUGGUAUUGAUUCUAAGACAGAAGGUAAGGGUUUAAGAAAAAAGAAUAAAUUGUUCAUGCUCACCUCA